This is a regulatory RNA element of Flavobacterium sp. 316, 37 nucleotides long. It matches the Rfam family "DUF805b RNA". Rfam says of the family: Bacteroidetes, Chlorobi (1 example), Proteobacteria. Lineage (Flavobacteria) Lineage: Bacteria; Pseudomonadati; Bacteroidota; Flavobacteriia; Flavobacteriales; Flavobacteriaceae. The record is from Rfam.
GUGGUGGAACCCGAAAAACCAUUUAAAAGAGUAGGGA